AAUCUCGUAGCUUAGUGAGUCGAGUAUUGGUGCGUGAAGCCAAAGGUCCCGGGUUCGAUUCCCGGCGAGGGUG
Molecule: transfer RNA, 73 nt
Filed under: Agrilus planipennis (emerald ash borer)
Lineage: Eukaryota; Metazoa; Arthropoda; Insecta; Coleoptera; Buprestidae
Rfam family: tRNA
About the family: Transfer RNA (tRNA) molecules are approximately 80 nucleotides in length. Their secondary structure includes four short double-helical elements and three loops (D, anti-codon, and T loops).
Source: Rfam by way of RNAcentral